RNAcentral lists this transfer RNA (70 nucleotides) under Heliocidaris crassispina. Its description in RNAcentral is "tRNA-Pro". It matches the Rfam family "tRNA". From Rfam's summary of the family: Transfer RNA (tRNA) molecules are approximately 80 nucleotides in length. The record is from RNAcentral. Lineage: Eukaryota; Metazoa; Echinodermata; Echinoidea; Camarodonta; Echinometridae.
CAAGAGAUAGUUUAAAGUAAAACCGCAGCUUUGGGAGUUGCAGACGUAAGUGCGAACCUUAUUCUCUUGA